AUCCUGGCUCAGGAUGAACGCUAGCGGCAGGCUUAACACAUGCAAGUCGAGGGGCAGCAUAAUGGAUAGCAAUAUCUAUGGUGGCGACCGGCGCACGGGUGCGUAACGCGUAUGCAACCUACCUUUAACAGGGGGAUAACACUGGAGAAAUUGGUACUAAUACCCCAUAAUAUCAUAGAAGGCAUCUUUUAUGGUUGAAAAUUCCGAUGGUUAGAGGAUGGGGCAAUGCGUUGUAUUAG
RNAcentral lists this ribosomal RNA (239 nucleotides) under uncultured bacterium. Its description in RNAcentral is "partial 16S ribosomal RNA". It matches the Rfam family "Bacterial small subunit ribosomal RNA", at positions 16 to 244 of the family's 1533-position model. The record is from RNAcentral.